CUGCCGCGUGUGUGAAGAAGGCCUUCGGGUUGUAAAGCACUUUCGGCCGGAACGAAAUCGCGCGGGCUAACACUCCGCGUGGAUGACGGUACCGGAAGAAGAAGCACCGGCUAACUACGUGCCAGCAGCCGCGGUAAUACGUAGGGUGCGAGCGUUAAUCGGAAUUACUGGGCGUAAAGUGUGCGCAGGUGGCCGCGCAAGUCGAGUGUGAAAGCCCCGGGCUUAACUUGGGAAUUGCGCUCGAAACUACGUGGCUAGAGUGUGGCAGAGGAAGGUGGAAUUCCACGUGUAGCGGUGAAAUGCGUAGAGAUGUGGAGGAACACCGAUGGCGAAGGCAGCCUUCUGGGCCAACACUGACGCUCAUGCACGAAAGCGUGGGGAGCAAACAGGAUUAGAUACCCUGGUAGUCCACGCCCUAAACGAUGAUGACUAGUUGUUGGGGGAGUUAAAUCCCUUAGUAACGCAGCUAACGCGUGAAGUCAUCCGCCUGGGGAGUACGGUCGCAAGAUUA
This 511-nucleotide ribosomal RNA is filed under the name uncultured Pseudomonadota bacterium. Its description in RNAcentral is "bacterial SSU rRNA". It matches the Rfam family "Bacterial small subunit ribosomal RNA", at positions 394 to 896 of the family's 1533-position model. Lineage: Bacteria; Pseudomonadati; Pseudomonadota. The record is from RNAcentral.